RNAcentral lists this ribosomal RNA (371 nucleotides) under uncultured organism. Its description in RNAcentral is "bacterial SSU rRNA". It matches the Rfam family "Bacterial small subunit ribosomal RNA", at positions 526 to 896 of the family's 1533-position model. The record is from RNAcentral.
CGUAGGGUGCGAGUCGUUAAUCGGAAUUACUGGGCGUAAAGCGUGCGCAGGCGGUUUUGUAAGACAGAUGUGAAAUCCCCGGGCUCAACCUGGGACCUGCAUUUGUGACUGCAAGGCUAGAGUACGGUAGAGGGGGAUGGAAUUCCGCGUGUAGCAGUGAAAUGCGUAGAUAUGCGGAGGAACACCGAUGGCGAAGGCAAUCCCCUGGACCUGUACUGACGCUCAUGCACGAAAGCGUGGGGAGCAAACAGGAUUAGAUACCCUGGUAGUCCACGCCCUAAACGAUGUCAACUGGUUGUUGGGUCUUUACUGACUCAGUAACGAAGCUAACGCGUGAAGUUGACCGCCUGGGGAGUACGGCCGCAAGGCUG